This 89-nucleotide small nucleolar RNA is filed under the name Chelydra serpentina (North American snapping turtle). Lineage: Eukaryota; Metazoa; Chordata; Testudines; Chelydridae. The record is from RNAcentral.
GGUCCCCGAUGAUGUCAGCACUGGGCUCUGAACUCCUGUGAGGACAUGGUGCCUCCUGGGGACUUGACACCCUGGGGGCUGAGGGGCCA